Molecule: long non-coding RNA, 379 nt
Organism: Humulus lupulus (European hop)
Lineage: Eukaryota; Viridiplantae; Streptophyta; Magnoliopsida; Rosales; Cannabaceae
Exons: 4
Source: RefSeq, a predicted model, not a curated record
AUAAACAAGACUAUAGAGCGGUAUACUCAAAGGAGAGUCAAGGAUGGUGGCAGCCAUAACACUACUAAUAAAACUGUUUCAGAAGAUAAUGAUCAGCACCUGCAGAAUAAAUUGGAUGGUUGAUCGUUCAGAAAAAGGCCUACGUCAAAGCGGGGGAAUCAUGGUGAACUAUGUUUACAGGGUAGAGAGCAUUGAAUAAUAUGCUCAAUCAUAUUUCAGCACAGGGCACAUACAUGCUUCUAGCAACCUUUGGCACUAUGUUGAGAGUGUUGGAGUUAAAAAGGGCCAUAACUUUACAGAAGCAAGGAAUGCCUGCUACUUGCUCGAUUGGUCAGAUGCAAUUAUUGUUGAAGGUCGUUGGGAUUCUAGUGAUCUAGAC